Molecule: signal recognition particle RNA, 299 nt
Filed under: Aotus nancymaae (Ma's night monkey)
Lineage: Eukaryota; Metazoa; Chordata; Mammalia; Primates; Aotidae
Description: Metazoan signal recognition particle RNA (ENSANAG00000005836.1)
Rfam family: Metazoan signal recognition particle RNA
About the family: The signal recognition particle (SRP) is a universally conserved ribonucleoprotein. It is involved in the co-translational targeting of proteins to membranes.
Source: RNAcentral
ACCAGGCAUGGUGGCGUGUGCCUGUAGUCCCAGCUACUAGGGAGGCUGAGGUGGGAGGAUCGCUUGAGCCCAGGAGUUCUGGGCUGUAGUGCGCUAUGCCAAUCGGGUGUCCGCACUAAGUUCGGCAUCAAUAUGGUGACCUCCCGGGAGUGGGGGACCACCAGGUUGUCUAAGGAGGGGUGAAUCGGCCCGGGCCGGAAACGGAGCAGGUCAAAACUCCCAUGCUGAUCAGUAAUGGGAUCGCGCCUGUGAAUAGCCACUGCACUCCAGCCUGGGCAACAUAGUGAGACCCCGUCCCU